RNAcentral lists this ribosomal RNA (1682 nucleotides) under Salmonella enterica subsp. enterica serovar Paratyphi A. The record is from RNAcentral. Lineage: Bacteria; Pseudomonadati; Pseudomonadota; Gammaproteobacteria; Enterobacterales; Enterobacteriaceae.
ACGGAGAAGGCUAUGUUGGCCGGGCGACGGUUGUCCCGGUUUAAGCGUGUAGGUGUGUGUUCCAGGUAAAUCCGGUUCACUUUAACACUGAGGCGUGACGACGAGGCACUACGGUGCUGAAGCAACAAAUGCCCUGCUUCCAGGAAAAGCCUCUAAGCAUCAGGUAACAUCAAAUCGUACCCCAAACCGACACAGGUGGUCAGGUAGAGAAUACCAAGGCGCUUGAGAGAACUCGGGUGAAGGAACUAGGCAAAAUGGUGCCGUAACUUCGGGAGAAGGCACGCUGACACGUAGGUGAAGUGAUUUACUCAUGGAGCUGAAGUCAGUCGAAGAUACCAGCUGGCUGCAACUGUUUAUUAAAAACACAGCACUGUGCAAACACGAAAGUGGACGUAUACGGUGUGACGCCUGCCCGGUGCCGGAAGGUUAAUUGAUGGGGUCAGCGCAAGCGAAGCUCCUGAUCGAAGCCCCGGUAAACGGCGGCCGUAACUAUAACGGUCCUAAGGUAGCGAAAUUCCUUGUCGGGUAAGUUCCGACCUGCACGAAUGGCGUAAUGAUGGCCAGGCUGUCUCCACCCGAGACUCAGUGAAAUUGAACUCGCUGUGAAGAUGCAGUGUACCCGCGGCAAGACGGAAAGACCCCGUGAACCUUUACUAUAGCUUGACACUGAACAUUGAGCCUUGAUGUGUAGGAUAGGUGGGAGGCUUUGAAGUGUGGACGCCAGUCUGCAUGGAGCCGACCUUGAAAUACCACCCUUUAAUGUUUGAUGUUCUAACGUGGACCCGUUACCCGGGUUGCGGACAGUGUCUGGUGGGUAGUUUGACUGGGGCGGUCUCCUCCUAAAGAGUAACGGAGGAGCACGAAGGUUGGCUAAUCCUGGUCGGACAUCAGGAGGUUAGUGCAAUGGCAUAAGCCAGCUUGACUGCGAGCGUGACGGCGCGAGCAGGUGCGAAAGCAGGUCAUAGUGAUCCGGUGGUUCUGAAUGGAAGGGCCAUCGCUCAACGGAUAAAAGGUACUCCGGGGAUAACAGGCUGAUACCGCCCAAGAGUUCAUAUCGACGGCGGUGUUUGGCACCUCGAUGUCGGCUCAUCACAUCCUGGGGCUGAAGUAGGUCCCAAGGGUAUGGCUGUUCGCCAUUUAAAGUGGUACGCGAGCUGGGUUUAGAACGUCGUGAGACAGUUCGGUCCCUAUCUGCCGUGGGCGCUGGAGAACUGAGGGGGGCUGCUCCUAGUACGAGAGGACCGGAGUGGACGCAUCACUGGUGUUCGGGUUGUCAUGCCAAUGGCACUGCCCGGUAGCUAAAUGCGGAAGAGAUAAGUGCUGAAAGCAUCUAAGCACGAAACUUGCCCCGAGAUGAGUUCUCCCUGAGACUUUAGGUCUCCUGAAGGAACGUUGAAGACGACGACGUUGAUAGGCCGGGUGUGUAAGCGCAGCGAUGCGUUGAGCUAACCGGUACUAAUGAACCGUGAGGCUUAACCUUACAACGCCGAAGAUGUUUUGGCGGAUGAGAGACGAUUUUCAGCACUGAUUCNNNNNNNNNNNNNNNNNNNNAGAAUUUGUCUGGCGGCAGUAGCGCGGUGGUCCCACCUGACCCCAUGCCGAACUCAGAAGUGAAACGCCGUAGCGCCGAUGGUAGUGUGGGGUCUCCCCAUGCGAGAGUAGGGAACUGCCAGGCAUCAAAU